This is a long non-coding RNA of Oreochromis aureus, 596 nucleotides long. RefSeq lists it as uncharacterized. The record is from RefSeq and is a predicted model, not a curated record. Lineage: Eukaryota; Metazoa; Chordata; Actinopteri; Cichliformes; Cichlidae. The transcript is spliced from 3 exons.
UAAAAAUGAUAACUAGUAAUUGUUGAUUUGAGUAAAGUUUUCAAAUUAAACUGACUUAGAAAUAAAACUUUCCAUUUACAACCUAAAAUAGCUUGUCUGCCCAACAAAUUUCUUCCAUUGUUGUCCUAACUAAGAUUUUCUAGCGAGCAUAACAAAGAUUAUCAACUUUUGAGUGGAUUUUUUGAGUUGAGUUGGGAACCAGUGGGAAACCCUGUAGGUGACUGGCACAUGUGGUCUGAAUAAGUUUGAACUAGACCAAACGAGUCUGAGCAGACUGUGUGAUAGUUGUUUGUCGAUGUGUUGUGAACUGAAAACCUGCUAAGAAAAUCUGAACAAACGUGGCCAAAGUUGGAUGAAAACUAAAAUUUUUCGACCAUUACGGAUUUUACCUGGUCUGAAGUUGGAGUGUAUUAUUUGACCAUUUUUUGGACAGGUGCGGGAGCUGCCAGCCAUUUGCACUAGCAGGCGGAGAGAGGUCGUGGAGUGUCAACCUAUGGUAUCUGAGGUCCAGGAGAGAUGACCUGCGCUGUUUUCCUCUGAGGAGAUAUCUGAAAAAUUUCAUCGGAUCACAAGCAAAGACCUCCUGGGGACCUUCA